This is a long non-coding RNA of Scylla paramamosain (green mud crab), 785 nucleotides long. RefSeq lists it as uncharacterized. The transcript is spliced from 3 exons. NCBI's taxonomy places the organism in Eukaryota, Metazoa, Arthropoda, Malacostraca, Decapoda, Portunidae. The record is from RefSeq and is a predicted model, not a curated record.
ACCUUAAACCCUCAACUCUGAAACCUGAACCCCGAAGACCCACGCAUGCAUAGUUCAAGGUAGACGAAGACAGUAGCGGCGAGGAAGUGCAUCCCUCAGUGAGCCUCAGAUUGGAUUAGCGGCAGUAGCGGGUCCACUCUGCCGCUUUCUGGCCGCCUCUGACGACGAGCUGAGCAGAAACACCUCGUUGGCGGGCAACUGAGGGCGGGGAAAGACACCAGGAAGGCAAGAUGGACGAGGACAGCAGGCGGCGGCAGGCGAGGCGACGCGCGGGGCGCCUGCAGACCCGCCAAGGCCGACACCGCCACCAGCACCAGGCCGUUCUUCGAGCGCUCCUCCCUCUCCCUUUGUGCACUCACGCAGUUCCCACCACGGCAAGCGCCCUUCGCCUGCGAGUAAUGCAACAAGACCUCACGCAGCACAGGUCAGUCCGCCGCCCUCGCCUUUCCUUCCUUCCCGCCAACUUGUGGCAUGCCUUCAGCUAAGCCUUGCCGUCUCACCUCAGGCCGCGCCGCGCACCGCUGCCUUUGUGCGCCCACGCCUCGGGCCACCUGGGCACCAACUUGCUGGACUCUCAGGCUGCGUGGUGGAUCAAAGCUUCACAUUUUCAAAGAUGCAGGGACCGCCACGUUGAGACCUGACGGCUUCCUGCAACUUCCUUCAUGUUAUGCGUGUGCUCCUAUUCACUGUUUCUUCAUCCAUAUCAGUCUUCCAGUGUAGAGCUAAACAAUAACAGCUUCGCUUCCAUUAUGUUCUAAUGUUCUCGUGUUCCUAUUCACUCUUCC